Artibeus jamaicensis (Jamaican fruit-eating bat) is the source of this 533-nucleotide long non-coding RNA. RefSeq lists it as uncharacterized. NCBI's taxonomy places the organism in Eukaryota, Metazoa, Chordata, Mammalia, Chiroptera, Phyllostomidae. The record is from RefSeq and is a predicted model, not a curated record. The transcript is spliced from 3 exons.
UUUUGUCUCAUGAAAUUGAAAGAACAUUGGGAGCUUUCCGUGUUAACAGUCACAAAUUACUCGAUGAUUAAAAAGGGGAAAUAGUAACCCCAUGAGGGAGAAACUCUGACAGCAUAUUAACCCAAUCGGCCCUUAUGAAUAUCAAUAAGAGGACAAACUGAUAUCCGCCUCACACCUCUGUACGCGAUGCACUGAGGACACAGCAUCACCAACCGGAGAGCUGGUCUGUUUGCCUGGCCCUGGAAGUGGACUCGGCCUCUGACAGACAGAUAAAGCCAUCUCCAGCCACACCUUUCCUCUUCCCAACAGAUGAAGGACUUCAGUUCGAAGAGUUACCGAGCAUCUACUCUGUACCAGGCACUCUCCCAGCACCUGAGAAUCCAGUGAUAAAGGAGGAAGAAAAGGGUGUUGUCUGCAGAGGAUCCUAAAUUUUUGGCCCACGUUUGUGAAGGGUUCCCUACUACCAGAUGCUUUGGGAGAUUACUUUCUUUUUCAAGAAAUAUUGUGUUUCAAAAUGGCGACAAUAUUUUGAA